UAUAGAUGGAUCCGCGCUGCAUUAGCUAGUUGGUAAGGUAACGGCUUACCAAGGCAACGAUGCAUAGCCGACCUGAGAGGGUGAUCGGCCACACUGGAACUGAGACACGGUCCAGACUCCUACGGGAGGCAGCAGUAGGGAAUCUUCCGCAAUGGGCGAAAGCCUGACGGAGCAACGCCGCGUGAGUGAUGAAGGUCUUCGGAUCGUAAAACUCUGUUAUUAGGGAAGAACAUAUGUGUAAGUAACUGUGCACAUCUUGACGGUACCUAAUCAGAAAGCCACGGCUAACUACGUGCCAGCAGCCGCGGUAAUACGUAGGUGGCAAGCGUUAUCCGGAAUUAUUGGGCGUAAAGCGCGCGUAGGCGGUUUUUUAAGUCUGAUGUGAAA
This 387-nucleotide ribosomal RNA is filed under the name Staphylococcus aureus. Its description in RNAcentral is "bacterial SSU rRNA". It matches the Rfam family "Bacterial small subunit ribosomal RNA", at positions 220 to 599 of the family's 1533-position model. Lineage: Bacteria; Bacillati; Bacillota; Bacilli; Caryophanales; Staphylococcaceae. The record is from RNAcentral.